This 528-nucleotide ribosomal RNA is filed under the name Trichoderma atroviride. RNAcentral describes it as "eukaryotic LSU rRNA". The stretch from base 173 to 326 matches the Rfam family "5.8S ribosomal RNA". The record is from RNAcentral. Lineage: Eukaryota; Fungi; Ascomycota; Sordariomycetes; Hypocreales; Hypocreaceae.
UCCCAAACCCAAUGUGAACCAUACCAAACUGUUGCCUCGGCGGGGUCACGCCCCGGGUGCGUCGCAGCCCCGGAACCAGGCGCCCGCCGGAGGGACCAACCAAACUCUUUUCUGUAGUCCCCUCGCGGACGUUAUUUCUUACAGCUCUGAGCAAAAAUUCAAAAUGAAUCAAAACUUUCAACAACGGAUCUCUUGGUUCUGGCAUCGAUGAAGAACGCAGCGAAAUGCGAUAAGUAAUGUGAAUUGCAGAAUUCAGUGAAUCAUCGAAUCUUUGAACGCACAUUGCGCCCGCCAGUAUUCUGGCGGGCAUGCCUGUCCGAGCGUCAUUUCAACCCUCGAACCCCUCCGGGGGGUCGGCGUUGGGGACCUCGGGAGCCCCUAAGACGGGAUCCCGGCCCCGAAAUACAGUGGCGGUCUCGCCGCAGCCUCUCCUGCGCAGUAGUUUGCACAACUCGCACCGGGAGCGCGGCGCGUCCACGUCCGUAAAACACCCAACUUCUGAAAUGUUGACCUCGGAUCAGGUAGGAA